CGAGGCGAGCGCUCUCAUAUGAUCGGAUCGGUGGAUCCAAUCGGACCCCGCAGCCCAACCCCGACCGUCCCGCUCGCCUUGGCCGAUGACCACGUCCCUCCAAAACGGCGGCGAUGAUGGAGGGAUCCGCCAGCGUCGGCCAGGCUCCCAACCCAUGGACUCGCCGGGUCGCCGCUCCUCGGGGCCAGCCCCUCUCGCCGCGCCUGCUCGGGGACCCCUCGGGGAUGCCGCCGGUGCGGUGGGACGUCCGCGGCGGCGCCGGCUGGGCACCGAGCGGCGGGUCCCNGGGAUCUGAGCUGCCGUCGAUCUGAGCCGCCGGCGCUUGGCUGCAUGUUGCUCUGGAUCCGGUACGAUCCCCAUCUCUUUCUCUCCGAGGCUCACGCACACACUCGCUCGCUCACUCUGUUUGUGCGCGCAGUUCACGCCAACGAACCCAAUCCCUAAGCCGAAUCAGGCGAGCUCUCGUUGCCGGAUAGCUGGCCAAUCGUCCGGUUGGUCGCCGCGUCAGUUCCGCACCGCUGUGGUGCUGCCAGCCACCGCAGCUCCAUUGCCUUGGAUUCGGGUGUGCUGUGGGCUGGGAACCAUAGUACGGUGUUUGUCUGACGCGUCGUCUGCACCGAGAGGUUUGGUCGGUCGN
RNAcentral lists this long non-coding RNA (637 nucleotides) under Hordeum vulgare. RNAcentral describes it as "long non-coding RNA (HVUL_LNC020568)". Lineage: Eukaryota; Viridiplantae; Streptophyta; Magnoliopsida; Poales; Poaceae. The record is from RNAcentral.